UUGUUUAGUUAUCUCGCCCUAUGAGAAAGAUAAUGAUAAAUAUUUAACAUAUGGAAUUGGAGAUUUUUUGGCGAUAAUUGCAUUUAUCAUCAUCUUAUCGUUCCUCCGUUAUAUCGAGCUAUUUGAAAAUAAAACUUCUCGAAAAGAUAAGUAACUUGUACCUGCGUCUUUUGAUUAUGCUAAUGAAGAGGAAGCGAAAUAGGGGUAGGAACUUUGUUUCAGCGCUUCCAUCACUUACAUCGCCCCCAUCGUCGUGGAUUGCUGCGUUCUCCGUUAGACGGAUUCUCAAAUUUCCCUGAAAACUGUACAUAAAGUUUCCAAGGACGACGUGCGCUAACAUACUCCUAAUUUGCAAUGCAUAUAGUUCAGCACCUAACUUUGUUCCGUUAUGCGUUAUGACGUGCUCUUACAGCAGCACGACUCGACGACGGUUUAGGAAUAUCUACAAGAAUGCAUUUAUAAUAUCUGCAAUUUCUGAAUCACUUCUCGUUACCGUAUCAUUUCAACGAUUAUAUUUUUCGAGUAAAACGAAGGAAGAGAUUAGUCAGUGGAUGAUUCUUCCGACUGCCACUUAUCCGUCAUUAUGCGAACAUACUAAUUCCCUUUGUCGAGUAUUCGCUAUGAAGCAACCCCCAACGAAAGCGGCUCGUUUUCUUGUCCCUCGGAUAAUUCCUAUUUGUCGUGCAAAAGGGCAGCACGUGUUCGCUCUCUCUCUCUCUCUCCCUCUCUCCUAAAGGCGCGUCAGAAAUUUUCGUAUUAUCGACCCGUGUCCGCGCCGUUGUCUAACUCGUCUAACUCGUACGAAAGCACGUGCAAAUUUGUCCGUUUGUUUGUUUGUUCGUUUGUUUGUACGCGCAAGCGUGCGCGUGUUUUCGACUCGUAAGUAAAACUGGAAUACACGAUAUACCAAAUUUUGCCAAGAUUUUUAUUCUAACAACGAUAAUCCAUAAAUUCUCAAAAGGAAAGAAAAAUUCUAAGCACAUGUUUCGAUAGAUACACGUUUCACGCCCGUCCUAAAACAGUGUUCGAGCCCCCGCGAGUCGAAAGUUCCUCCGAAUCAAAAGUAACUCGUAGUUUCGUCCAAAUUACUACAAAUUAAUAAAAGAAAGCUCACGAUCCAACCCUUUUAUAUAUAUAUAUAUAUAUCGUAAAGUACGCGGACGACCACGAUGUGUAAACUUAAAAUAGGCGAAUGCAUGAACCAUCGCCCGAGUCGUCUUCCUCCUUGGUACGUCAAAUAUACGACGAAUGAUCGAAUCGAUAAUCUGGCGCAUAACAUUUAUAAUAUUACAUAAUGUGGGAAUUGUAUUUAUAUACCGACUUACGUACGUAUCGAGUAUUCGUAUUAUCAGUGAUUUCAUCGUAUAGGGAGGAUAAAAAGUAAAGAAAGAAAAAUGUCCAAUUUCUUCGCGUCACGUUUCUCGCUGGCAUCGUAUACAAAUAUAUAUGUAUAUGUAUUUGAUUGCAAAAGUAUCUACGUGUAGGCAGGAAAAAUGUUUUUACAUGCAGAUGCAUGAAGCUCUUAGGAAGGUGAGCUCGUAGAGAACAAACUAAGUAAACGACAUAUCUUUUUCUCUCUCUUAUAUUCUUGUGUGGGAGAGAGCGGAUUGGGGAACACUUUCUCACACAAGAACAUUUUGGAGAACAUCGACGAGAGUAGUAGACGAACACGAACGCGCGCGUUCGCCACGUUAUACGGGGUGUCCCGACUUCUUAAGAAACAAAUACAUAUAACGUAUGUACGUAUGCGAAUAGAUGAAAGAAAAAUCGGCAAAAUUCAUUGAUCGCUAUCGCGUAGAAAUGUAUAAACGUUUUUUUCACGACGUUCUCGUUCCUCGAGGGAGCGGAUUAAAAUGAUUGCGUCGGUUAUCGCGGCCUGUUAAUCGCCAAACCAGUUUUUUAACUCUUCGCUUAGUUUCGUAGAAAACUAUCGUCGAUGUCUCGAAUCGAGUCAAGUGUCUUUACACUUGGAUCAAACGAUUGUAAUAAUAUUCGAAUAAUAGAAAGGGGAAGGAAGGGGAAGGAAGGGGAAGGAAGAAAAAGUUAUGGAAAUUUCAAUUUGGCGAAAGUUAGAAGGCGUUACUCUAACGGGUCAAUCAUGUGGCGCGAACUACUCGUGAUUUACGAGGGUCCACGGGCCGGACGGCUAAUUUUCGGACACCCUGUGUGCAAGCAUAACGCAGGCGCAGGCAGCUGUCACCUUACACCCAUGCUGUAGGAGGCAUGGGGCUGUACGGCGGCCAUUCUCAACUUAUCUCUAGGAUCUUUGUAAACAUGUCGUGAAAUCCGAGUAUCCAGGCAGUGGCGUAGGAUUGUGGCCUGGUUGGAAUAUAUAUCUCUUGUUGGUGCUCUAAUCGCGAUAUUACGAGAUCGUCAAAGGCAGCAAGAAGUCUCAAGAUUUACCAGACAAGAACCACAGUAACGUGAAACAUAAUACAAGUUGCACCAGCCAGUCCUAAGCUCAACCAUGCGAGGCAGCCAGCGGCCAAGAAACGCGACGCACGAAUCAGAUUACAUCUUGCGUUCGCUGCUUAUCUUUAUUCUUCACCUUACCUUGCUUCAAUUCACCUCAUUUCACUUCAGUGACAACCCCCCUUCGAGAGACAUCUUAUAACGCGCUCGCAAUAUUCGAUCGUCCUUGAAAAAAUACCCAAUAAGAAAUUACGAACGAUUCGAAUCACUUAAUAGAUAAGCUUUUUUAAUUCUUUCCACCUGGGUCGAUGGACACACCUACGACCAGGUUUGACGAGACAUCAGGGUAAAAACGAUAAAAGGAUCUCUCUCUGAAAUGUUACGAAUAAUUUACAAAAGAUUUUAUUUUUUAUCAUACAAUUUUAUAUUAAUCAUUUAACCUGUUAGCGGUACCCCCUUUAGUUAUAAUUAAUUCUUUGUUAUAAUAAUACUUUUUUUCAAUGAG
RNAcentral lists this long non-coding RNA (2917 nucleotides) under Polistes fuscatus (common paper wasp). RNAcentral's name for it is "uncharacterized LOC122515462". Lineage: Eukaryota; Metazoa; Arthropoda; Insecta; Hymenoptera; Vespidae. The record is from RNAcentral.